UUUCUGGUUGCAGAAGCAUGUCUAAUUGCUGGUGCAGCGAAAAAUGCAUACCACACCAAGUACCGAGGAAUGAUAUAUGCUCAAAAUUUCUCAUGCGAAACAUUGCGGAAAGGUGUUUUUGUUGCUGGAGCAGUGUUUGCUGUUGCAACAAUGGUUCUUAAUGUAUAUUACUACUUGUAUUUCUCAAAGGCUACUGCUCCUCUUCCAGCCCAGAAAGCAAAUCGUACAAGUUCAAAUGUNACUGGCUACGCAUAGAAUCAUCUACGAGACCAGAUAACUAAGUUUUGCUUCAUGAUGUUUUGAGUUCUGGUGGUGAUUGUAUCAUACGAUUGUUGUGCUUAUCUGGUGAUAUAUAGUGAGUUUGUGAUUUAUGAAAGCC
RNAcentral lists this unclassified non-coding RNA (379 nucleotides) under Hevea brasiliensis (rubber tree). Lineage: Eukaryota; Viridiplantae; Streptophyta; Magnoliopsida; Malpighiales; Euphorbiaceae. The record is from RNAcentral.